GAGCAGGGUGAAGCCAGGGGAACUCUGGUGGAGGCUCGUAGCGAUACUGACGUGCAAAUCGUUCGUUUGACUUGGGUAUAGGGGCGAAAGACUAAUCGAACCAUCUAGUAGCUGGUUCCCUCCGAAGUUUCCCCUAGGAUAGCUGGAACAUGUGACAGUUUUAUCAGGUAAAGCUAACGAUUAGAGGUCCUGGGGCUGAAACAGCCUUAACCUAUUCUCGAACUUUAAAUAGGUAAGAAGCCCGGCGAUGCUUGAGUGAUCCCGGGCCGCGAAUGGAAUGUUCUUUUGUUGGGCCGAUUUUGGUUAAGCAGAACUGGCGAUGCGGGAGUGAACCGGACGUCGAGUUAAGGUGCCGGACGUGUUCGCUCAUCUAGAUACCACAAAAAGGUGUUGGUUCAUUUAGUAC
RNAcentral lists this ribosomal RNA (406 nucleotides) under uncultured eukaryote. RNAcentral describes it as "eukaryotic LSU rRNA". It matches the Rfam family "Eukaryotic large subunit ribosomal RNA", at positions 839 to 1238 of the family's 3401-position model. The record is from RNAcentral.